Molecule: unclassified non-coding RNA, 318 nt
Filed under: uncultured fungus
Lineage: Eukaryota; Fungi
Description: partial contains small subunit ribosomal RNA, internal transcribed spacer 1, and 5.8S ribosomal RNA
Rfam family: Eukaryotic small subunit ribosomal RNA (bases 1-73)
Source: RNAcentral
GCAAACUUGGUCAUUUAGAGGAAGUAAAAGUCGUAACAAGGUUUCCGUAGGUGAACCUGCGGAAGGAUCAUCAAUGAAAUUUUAAUGAAUUUUUUUUUAUAAAGAAAUGUUUAUUUUCUUUAUAAAAAAAAUUCUUAUUAUUAUAAACGCCUUUAAUUGUGUGUGAUUUUAAUCAAUUAUCAUGAUCAUUAUUAUUGAAGAAUAAUAAUGAUGAUAGUUUGAUAAAUUUUUUAUACAAAUUAGUUUUUAUAAUCUAUAAAAAAACAAACAACUUUUAACGAUGGAUCUCUUGGCUCUCGCAUCGAUGAAGAACGCAGC